GAUGAACGCUGGCGGCGUGCCUAAUACAUGCAAGUCGAGCGAACGGACGAGAAGCUUGCUUCUCUGAUGUUAGCGGCGGACGGGUGAGUAACACGUGGAUAACUUACCUAUAAGACUGGGAUAACUUCGGGAAACCGGAGCUAAUACCGGAUAAUAUUUUGAACCGCAUGGUUCAAUAGUGAAAGACGGUCUUGCUGUCACUUAUAGAUGGAUCCGCGCUGCAUUAGCUAGUUGGUAAGGUAACGGCUUACCAAGGCAACGAUGCAUAGCCGACCUGAGAGGGUGAUCGGCCACACUGGAACUGAGACACGGUCCAGACUCCUACGGGAGGCAGCAGUAGGGAAUCUUCCGCAAUGGGCGAAAGCCUGACGGAGCAACGCCGCGUGAGUGAUGAAGGUCUUCGGAUCGUAAAACUCUGUUAUUAGGGAAGAACAUAUGUGUAAGUAACUGUGCACAUCUUGACGGUACCUAAUCAGAAAGCCACGGCUAACUACGUG
RNAcentral lists this ribosomal RNA (497 nucleotides) under uncultured bacterium. RNAcentral's name for it is "partial 16S ribosomal RNA". It matches the Rfam family "Bacterial small subunit ribosomal RNA", at positions 28 to 507 of the family's 1533-position model. The record is from RNAcentral.